AGAACAUAAAGAACUCAACAGACAGAAGAUAAAGCCAAGCACUGUUUGUCUGUAGGAAGUGGCCAGGCAUCAAGCCCAACGAAAUCACCAUUCAGAACAAGAUACUGACUCGGAGGACACCAUCAAUAACCACCAAUAAGACCACCCUGGGCCACUUGGCCGCCAUAGAAGCCCGAGAUGCCGUUUACCUGGUGAGUCAGCACAUGCCGGCAUCCCCCAGGGCUGCAGAUCUCAACUCUCCUGUAGGCUCAAGGGCACAUGGCAAGGGCCAUGUUCAUCCCCAGGACCAGUAUGAUGACUAAGCUGUGAACCUUGUGCUAUAUCCAGCUGAGAGAUUACUCACUUAGUCAUGGAGAAGGGCUGUUGGAGGGAGGGACAGUAAAGUUGGGCACAAGGCAGAUAUAGCAAUGCCCAUAGCUGUACCCACUGGGGUACAAUGGCAGGAACACCCACAGCCUCCAGGUGCUAACCGGUACCUCCUGUUCUCAACAUGAGGCGUCUUGCAACACCCUCUCUGCCACUGCUGAGGGAUGGAGAAUCUCUCCCAUUUCCCCUAGCAAGGGCAACAAUACCUGAAGACACCUGCCUUUUUACACCACUCCCAAACAGCAGAGCCAGAUACCCACUGACAGACUGUAGGACUGACCUGCUGAGCCUUCACUAAAAUGCCACCUGAACUAUCUUCCAGCUCAGAAGAUGUAUAGAUCCUUGCUCCUGGUGCCCAUAGAGAAACUUAGUCAUAUCCACUGGUCCCAGGGGAAAGCCUGAAGUUCCUAGUGCUGGUGUGUCCUUAGCUGCUACUGCAGGUCCCAGGCAGAGGGAAAGACUCUAUACGCUGUAUUCAGUGAGGGGUGGAGACCCAGGGCUCAGCCUUCUGAAGAGGCCAGGAACCCCCUAUGGGUGCCCCACUGCAGGACAAUGGUCAGGAAUGCUCAGGUCCCAGAACCAGAGACACACAGGUCUCUGCCCCCGCUCAGUUUCUCUUGAGCUGGGCGACCAUAGGUCCCAGCCUUCCCAUUGUAAGGUAAGAGAAUAACCUCACCUAUGUGAGAGCCUGUGGGAUGACUUCCUGAGAAACAGCUUGUGGGGCCAGGGCUGUUCCUGAGGGCCAGGGGUCAGUGCUUGCUGUGGGCCCCAGAGCUCAGAGCCCCCAAGUCUGUGAAGGCAGGAGUUCCCAAGCCUUCCUUUUGCCUCCCUUCAGAAAUACUUGGCACUGUUUGACAAAGAACUGAAGGGUAUCCAGGAUCACUUCAGGAAGCUGCUGUUGGAGUCUCAGCGCUGGAAGGAAAGCUGGAAACGCUCCCUUAGCACCAUCCAGACCCUAUACUCGACCUGUUCUCCUCUGCAACUCAAAUAAAGUCUUUAUUUCUCUCC
RNAcentral lists this long non-coding RNA (1374 nucleotides) under Mus musculus (house mouse). RNAcentral describes it as "long non-coding RNA chr4:45949394-45950768". The record is from RNAcentral. Lineage: Eukaryota; Metazoa; Chordata; Mammalia; Rodentia; Muridae.